This 253-nucleotide ribosomal RNA is filed under the name uncultured bacterium. RNAcentral's name for it is "partial 16S ribosomal RNA". It matches the Rfam family "Bacterial small subunit ribosomal RNA", at positions 524 to 776 of the family's 1533-position model. The record is from RNAcentral.
UACAGAGGUCCCAAGCGUUGUUCGGAUUUACUGGGCGUAAAGGGUGCGUAGGGGGCGAGGUAAGUUCGAUGUGAAAUCUCCGAGCUCAACUCGGAAAUGGCAUUGAAUACUAUCCCGCUUGAGGGUCGGAGGGGAGACUGGAAUUCUCGGUGUAGCAGUGAAAUGCGUAGAUAUCGAGAGGAACACCAGUGGCGAAGGCGAGUCUCUGGACGACUCCUGACACUGAGGCACGAAAGCUGGGGGAGCAAACAGG